Callithrix jacchus (white-tufted-ear marmoset) is the source of this 3722-nucleotide long non-coding RNA. RefSeq lists it as uncharacterized. The record is from RefSeq and is a predicted model, not a curated record. NCBI's taxonomy places the organism in Eukaryota, Metazoa, Chordata, Mammalia, Primates, Cebidae.
UGUGGCAGCAGCAGACAUUGCCCAACAAACAUAUACCACGGCAUAAAGUCAGGAUUUUCAGAACCUUGGGGAUCUCAAGGCUCUGUGCCCGCUCCGUGGAUGCCAACGUUUGCGGGGGCUCUGUCUCUGUUCCACUACACCGCUGCCUCCAGGUCUGCUUCUUCCCUCCCACUGCAUUCCCGCCUCCUCUGGUGCCCCCCUCUGAGAGUCAUGUGGCUAAUUUUAAACCGUAAUCUGAAGCCCAGAACCAGGAAAGUCCCCUGGUCUCAGGGUGGCCACAGCUAAAGGACACUCGGGAAAUAUGACAAAAGGCUUUGGAGAAACAAGGCGAACAGAAAGUUUUGCUCCUGUUGCCCAGGCUGGAGUGCAAUGGCACGAUCUCGGCUCACCGCAACCUCUGCUUCCCAGGAUCAAGUGAUUCUCCUGCCUCAGCCUCCCGAGUAUCUGGGAUUACAGGGUUCAAACCAAGGCAGCCAGGCUCUGGAGGGCACACUCCUUGCCAGGACACGGCAUGUUAGCAGGGAUGAAGUUUUGCUUUUGAUGCCCAGGCUGGAGUGCAAUGGCGAAAUCUCAACUCACUGCAACCUCUGCCUCCCCGGUUCAAGCGAUUCUCCUGCCUCAGCCUCCCAAGCAGCUGGGAUUACAGGCACCCACCUAAUUUUUUUGUAUUCUUAGUAGAGACAGGGGUUUCACCCUGUUGGCCAGGCUGGUCUUGAACUUCUGACCUCAGGUGAACCACCUGCCUCAGCCUCCCAUAGUGCUGGAAUUACAGGCACGAGCCACUGUGCCCGGGCCACUAAAUCCUAAUAAAAAGUGAUUUGGGUUUUAACAGCAACCAAAUCAUCUUCUUCUGAGGGAGAGGAGUCAGGAGUCAGGAGUCAUGGAAGGGGACCCACCAAGGUGUCAUUUGGACCCCAGGCUGGGCCUUCCAGUCACCAGCCAUGAGCCCCGCAGUGAAGUAUACAUUUUCUGGCUUGGGUUCUUCAUCUGUAUAUGGAAGGUGUACAAGGAUAGGUGAUUUCAGAGAGUCGUUUUAGUGUUACUACUUGCUCUUUUUCUUUUUUUAGAAGAAUGAUGUGCUUUCUGAAGUUGCAUUUUUUUAAUGACAGCUUUAUUGAGAUGUAUUUCUAAACACAAUUUACCCAUUCAGAGUGUGGAAUUUCAUGGUUUUAAUAUAUCUGCUGAGCUGUGCAGCCGUCACUAUGAUUGCUGUCAGAGCAGCUUCAUCACCUCAGAAACAAAUCCCACCCGAUUAGCAGUCACCCUCUCUUUCGCCCCAAGUCCUCCAGUUCCAGGCAACCAUAAAUCUACUUUCUGUCUCUGGAUUGGCCUACUCUGGUGGCACUGUCUCAUAGACACAGAAACUCACCAUCGGCCAAGUGAGGUGGCUCAAGCCUAUAAUUCCAGCACUUUGGGAGGCCAAGGCUGGCGAAUCACUUGAGGUCAGGAGUUCAAGACAAGCCUGGCCAACAUGGCAAUAACCUUGUCUCUAUUAAAAAUACAAAAAUUAGCCAGGUGUGGUGGUGCACACCUGUGAUCCCAGCUACUUUGGAGGCUGGGGCAGGAGAAUUGCUUGAACCCAUGAGGCCAAGGUUUUAGUGAGCCGAGACUGCACCACUGCCCUCCAGCCUGGGCAACCGAGCAAGACCCUGUCUCAAAAAAGAAUAAAAAAAAAGAAAGAAACACACUAUCACCAGAAUAGGCAAGUAUACAUUACAUUUUUAACUCACAAGAAGUUCGGGUGAAAUGAUGGUGUGCCCUGCAAAUGUCCCAGUUUUUCCUGCACUUUUUUUUUCGAUCUGAAGUCCUGCUUUGCUUGAGAAGAGUGGGAGACACUCUUCUGGACUCCACUGAGAGCUGAGAGCAGACAAGAAGGGUUCAAUGCAAAUAAAGCACAGAUUCUGGAUGAGAUGUGAAUGCUUGCAAGGGCCUGUUCAGGAUUUGGGUAGCCCAACUUUUUACGGGAGUUUUGAAAAGCUGCUGAAAUUUGUUUUAUUUUUUCAUGAAGUGCUGCAGAUGGUAAACUUGGAUGAUUAAGAAUGAAAUAUCCCAGGCCAGGCAUGGGGGCUCACGCCUAUAAUCCCAGCACUUUGGGAGGUCGAGGCAAGUGGAUCAUGAGGUCAGGAGUUUGAGACCAGCCUGGCCAACAUGGUGAAACCCUGUCUCUACUAAAAAUACAGAAAUCAGCUGGGCAUAGUGGCAGGGCCAGUAAUCCCAGCUACUCAGGAGGCUGAGGCAGGAGAGAAUCACUUGAAACAGGAAAGGGAAGGUUGAAGUGAGCCAAGAUCAAACUACUGCACCAGCCUGGGUGAAACAGUGAAACUCCAUCUCAGAAAGAAAAGAAAAGAAAAAAAAAAAGAAUGAAAUAGCCCAGAUCAUGUCACAAAAGAAGGAUACUGAAGACUGGAUUCAGAGGCUCACACCUGUAAUCCUAGCAAUUUGGGAGGCCAAGGCAGGUAGAUUGCUUGAGUCCACGAGUUCCAGACCAGCCUGGGCAACAUGGCAAAACCCCGUAUCUACAAAAAAUAAAAAAAUUAGCCAGGCAUGGCGGUGCAUGUCUGUAGUACCAGCUACAUGAAAGGCUGAAGUGGGAGGAUGGUUUAAGGGAGGCAGAGGUUACAGUAAGCUGGAUUGCAUCACUGUACUCCAGCCUGGGUGACUGAGCCAGACCCUGUCUCAAAAAAAAAAAAAAAAAGUUGGCGGGGGAGGGUGCUGAAACAGCAAUAACUAUUUAAGGCCUAAACUUUGGGUGAAUCUAAGACCCAAACAAUGGGCUCCAUGUCAAUAUCACCUCCUUUGUAUAAAGAUUCCCCAAUAAAAAUAUAAACAUUUGGCUGGGCACGGUGGCUCACGCCUGUAAUUCCAGCACUUUGGGAGGCUGAGGCAGGCAGAUCACGAAGUCAAGAAAUCAAGGCCAUCUUGGCCAACAUGGUGAAAUCCCAUCUCUACUAAAAAUACAAAAAAAUUAGCUGGGCAUGGUGGGACAUGCCUGUAGUACUGCUACUCAGGAGGCUGAGACAGGAGGAUCGCUUGAAUACAGAGAGCACUACUGCACUCCAGCCUGCUGACAGAGCGAGACUCUUUCUCAAAAAACAAAAACAAAAACCAAAUAUAAACAUUCACAACCAUCCUGGGAUCUCUAUGGAAGAUUGAUGUGGUAUAACACUCGGGAGCUUACAGAUAUGUGCCUGGGUUACCUACAUUCUUCCAAUACCUACUAUAGUCUGUACCCUAGGUAUUCAAAGAAGAAUGUUCUUUUGCUAGGAUACUGCAUCUUUCUCUGUAAAUUCAUCUUAGUGCUCUGGGGUGGUUGCCAGGGAGAAUACUAACAGAAGUUUGCUUGUUUGGUGGCUGGGGAAGUAAUAUUACCAGUAAUUACUAGUAAGUGAUUCCAGGUAUUGCAUGCAGACUACAUAUUUUAUAUGCAUGUAUGGGGUUUUAUUGUUUACAAAAUAUUUUCAUGUAUUUGACCUCAUUUGAUCCUUAUGUGGUAAGGAUCAAAUGAGGUCAAAUACAUGGAAAUAUUGUAUUUCAUGAAUCAGCCAGGUAGGGUAUCUAUUUCCUGGAAUCAGAAUGCUUAGGUUUGACUUCUGAGUUACCAUUUACUAGCUAUGUGUUCUUGGGCAAAUUACUUCAACUUUUUUUUUUUUUUUUUAGACAAGUCUUGCUCUGUCACCCAGGCUGGAGUGCAGUGGCGUGAUCUUGGCUCCCAAUAUCAGGUU